This is a long non-coding RNA of Aegilops tauschii subsp. strangulata, 3408 nucleotides long. RefSeq lists it as uncharacterized. The record is from RefSeq and is a predicted model, not a curated record. NCBI's taxonomy places the organism in Eukaryota, Viridiplantae, Streptophyta, Magnoliopsida, Poales, Poaceae.
UGUCCCAACCACCCGACUCCGCGCCUCCCGCCCGAGACCGGCCGCUACCGAUGAGGGCCACGCCGACGCUCCCCCUCAGCCCGCCUUCCUCCUCUUUCCACUCCGUUCCCCUCCUUCUCUCUCCGCUCUCCGGUCAGCAGCGACCACCCAAGCUCGCCCCAAUCCAUUACCCUCUCCUUCCGCCCAGCUUGGGUCCAUCGCCGGUCGUCCAUGGGGCGAGCGCUGCGCCUCCUCAUGAAGCUCCUAUUUUUGUGCUGCCCCGCCUGCACUGCCCACCAGCGCAUUCCGAGAACUCAUGUUCGCCUUCUGCCGAGCUGCCGGAUUGAUGGCUGACCGCCGUCAUGACCGACCUCAACCUUCUGCACGCCAUGGGCAGCGGCCAUGGAGGCCGCACCUCCGGCCUCUCGCUCGCCGCCAGCCAGGACCUCGGCCAACAUCUCAUUCAUCUAUAUCAAGGACCGAUCUACGUCACCCGAGGUUGACAGCAGUUCGGCCAGGGGAAUCACGACCACAUCCUGAUAUCCGCUGCCUUGGGCACGGCCGCAAAUGCUUGCCUUCCUUGGAGCAAAGAAUUAUGAGCUCUCCCGUACAUGGCUGAAGCGGCUCCAGGUGUGCGUGUCUGUAUUUUAACUUUUGCUCAUUCUUUUGUUUCUGAAUAAGUGAAUUUCUCUUGCUGGAGCGUUUCAUUGAAAAGGAAUUUGGUUCUGAAGCUACUCUUGAAGCCUACGAUCUGAAAAACACAGGGGAAUUAAUUUGCUCUAUGUUGUGUUGUGGUUCCUGCCCAAGAGGUGGCAAUAGUUCAGACUUCAAACUUAAUAAGCCAUAUGCUUAUAUCUCAUAAAUAAAUUAAAUAUCACAGGAAAGGAGCAGCAACCUUAACUGAACAUGGAGUUGCGUUACAAGUUCCAUGUGCACUAGCUUUUAGUGCAGGUCAGUCAUCAAAAGGGGACAUCGAUAGGCACGUACGUCGCCAGACGCGUCUCUCUCCACCUGCAGGAUGAUUUCCGUGGCACGGCCCUCCUCAGCCAAAUGAAUCUCUCGCCUUGUCAAGCAAAAGAUUAGUGAUCUCGUGCAAGAUCUAAAUGUAACCAGUGAUGAUGGCUCUACAGAAACGUACAACUGUGAGCCCUCAGGUUCUUCAUUCACGAAAUGUUCAGCCAAUUCGACCAUGUCAAAUGCAGUUUUGUGUGGAAGAGAGCUGGUAUAUUUGUAAUUGAUGUGUAUGAUGGCACGUCUUCUGAAUGCAAGCUUCGUCUCGAUAGGAGAUCCUCCAGCUUUAGUGUGUUGAAGUCUGACGAAUUGGAGAAUCAGAUGGUAGUUGCUGGAGAGGCAAGGAACUCCCAUGCUUGCAGCGAUGCACUUGGUGGGCAUUCCUUGCAUUUUUCCCGUAAAAUCACACGGAUACAUGUAUUUAAUUAUAGCAAAGUCACGAUGUCUUUAUCAUGCCAGUAUGCCAAUGUGCCCAGAAAUUAGAUAACAGAGGGAAGUUAGCAAGUCCCGGCUCUGAAAGCAUACCAAAUAUUUCAAUUUUUAGGCCACUGCUCAAUUUUGAAGAGCUACUCCUUUGAACUAGAUAUGUGAGCUUUUUGUAAACUAUAGGAUAUCAUAGUCUGCUAAGUGGAAAAAGAACUCUGAUGUUGGGCAUAUCCUGUAGUAUUUAAAUCAUUAUUUUUUUACACAUGUGAUGCAAAUCUUUUUCGUUUAGAAAAAUGUGAAUCUCCAGGAUUGAUAUGAACUCAGAAUACAAAUUUUGGGACAACUAUUAACAUUGAAAGAGAAUGAAUGUGAAGACAAUAUGUGUGCUGGUGUCUUGGGAUUCAUCAGUUGUAUCAGGAAAACCAAAGUAAAACAGGUACUCAGAUUUUUUUUUAUUCUACAUUUUCCAGAUAUAGCAAAGGUUGGACCACAGAAAGUAUCGUGUGUGGCUGACACAAACUCCAAUUGUGGCACCUCUUGUCAAAAGUUCACUGUAUGAACGAGGAUCAUAUGUUUGCUUUGAUCUCAACCUUUGGAUGCAGUUAGAAGGUUUCAUCAUAACAAAAAUUGUUAGUUUUUGUAAAUUAACCUCACCAUUUUGAUGAUUGUAGGACAUCAUUGUUCUCCAAUAUGAAACUAUAGAGAAGGGACCUGACGUACAUUUGUGUAACACAGUUCAGUAAACAUGUAUGGAAACUUUAUUUCUUUUUUGAGAUUGAUUUACUUGGUGGUGCUAUUGCCCAUUUCCUAUUAACAAGACAUGUGUGAUGUUCCAAAAAAGGAGCUUAUUUGUUGUAUGGCAGCCUUGAUGGUAGUUUUAUACAUGUAGCUAAGGAAAUUGUGCUUGAAGCGCGUCCUGUUAAAAAAUGGGAUGGGGACUUGUGCUGGUUUUCAGUCAUACUUAUUGGGAUAGGCCCAUGCGAUUUUUCUCUCUCCGUUGCCACGGCAUUGGUCGGGUUGUGAUAAGGAGAAUGAGAUAGCGAUGAUGUGGUGCUUCACUGCUAGCUGAAUUUUGCCAUUGCUGGUGCUAGCUGAACUUUGUGGUAGCUAAAUUUUGCUAUCGCUGCUGCUAGCUGAAUUUUGCAUAGACGUAACGCUCAUCUAGACAUGUUUUUCCAGUAGAAGUGAGAAAUAUAUGCAGGUUUUUAUGCCAAAAGCUUUUAAUAUUUUUCCUCAUAGUCUAAGUAAACUGAUGAUGCAUUCCAUGGCUAAGGAUUUGGUUCCAACAGAAGCAACACAUAUUCAUCUUGCCUACUAUCCCAUCAGUGGAUGUCAGUCUCAUUUUUCUGAUCGUACACUUGAGCUAAGAAUUCAUUGCCCCUUUUUUGAACAGGCUGCAGUAACCAGUUUGUCACUACUUCAAUGGAUAUAAUGGAGCAUAUCGUCAUUGCGUAUGCAAAAGCAUGUUUCAAAAUUUAAAUUACCAUGGCACAUUUAAUUCUUUUGGAAUACUAAACAAUCAUGCGGCUGUACAGAUUUUAAAAUUCAUGGUAGGACCACAGGAGAAUACUACUUUGUUGGGGGGAGAUAAUUUGUUGAGUCGAUGCCUUGCAAAGUUUCGCAGAGAACAAGCUAUAUGUAGAUUCCUUCCAAUUGCAGCAAGCUUCGAGCAAGCAAAACUAUACUCUGUAAAUAAUUUCCUUGAACCAGAUUCUUUAUUUUCUUUGUAUUUUCACCUUUCCUUAUACUGGAUUUCCCUUUCCUUAUACUGGAUUUCAAUGUACUGAACACUCUCCUUAAUCAAUGGAAGCAACACCUGAUUGCCUUCAUAUAAAAAAAACACAAUCUGAACAUGUACAAGGUGAUGUAUAGCAGGAACAGAAAAAAAUAAUACUAUGCGAAGGUGAGUGCAAGUGUAUGAUUUUCCAGAAUUAUUUUCUUGCCAGAAGUUACUAUAUUCUCAAUAUACAUCAGAAAUAAUUAGGAAAUUCU